UACGGAGGGGGUUAGCGGUGUUCGGAAUUACUGGGCGUAAAGCGCGCGUAGGCGGAUCAGAAAGUUGGGGGUGAAAUCCCGGGGCUCAACCUCGGAACUGCCUCCAAAACUCCUGGUCUUGAGUUCGAGAGAGGUGAGUGGAAUUCCGAGUGUAGAGGUGAAAUUCGUAGAUAUUCGGAGGAACACCAGUGGCGAAGGCGGCUCACUGGCUCGAUACUGACGCUGAGGUGCGAAAGUGUGGGGAGCAAACAGG
Molecule: ribosomal RNA, 253 nt
Filed under: uncultured bacterium
Lineage: Bacteria
Description: partial 16S ribosomal RNA
Rfam family: Bacterial small subunit ribosomal RNA
Source: RNAcentral